GAGCGAGCAUAUUUGGUGUGACGGGGAUUCGAACCCGCGACCCUCAGAUUGCGACUCGGGCGACCUAACCACCUGGCCAUGCAGGGGCCGUUUUUGCAU
This is a long non-coding RNA of Limulus polyphemus (Atlantic horseshoe crab), 99 nucleotides long. RefSeq lists it as uncharacterized. The transcript has 3 exons. The record is from RefSeq and is a predicted model, not a curated record. NCBI's taxonomy places the organism in Eukaryota, Metazoa, Arthropoda, Merostomata, Xiphosura, Limulidae.